CCUGUCGGUACUUGAAGAAGCGGAGCCAGGGCUGAGAUCCCGAAGGCGGGCGAGGUCUGGGAUGGGGCGGGGCCUAUGGGAGCGGGGCUGAAGCCCUGGGCCCGGCAGAGGAAGGUCGAGAUGGACCAUGUUGGGCCCCUUCUCUCCCCGCCCCCAGGCCGCAGUUCGGGGGCCACGCCCCGGCGUGCUCGGGUCACCGCGGGAAGCCCUUGAACCCCCUGGCGCCCGGCACCCACGUGCGGUAACCGCGGCUCCUCGAGAGCUCCAGGGAUGCGGAUCUACAGUAAGGGCUGUGGCCAGAUGAAUGAAUGCACAUUUUUUAGUGGGCAGAAAGAUGUUAGAAUUCAUGAAUUAGAAUAAGCACAAAGGAGGGCGAGAGGGGAGGCCGUGGAAGCCGCAUUCCUCCCCUUGCCUUGGGCGCCCACCCCCGAAGGGGCGCGUCCCCUCCCUGCUCCACUGCACGUGGGUGUUUAACCAGGGGAUAUCCAGUGCCUCAAGCACCACGACCCGGGAGAAAACUGAGUUGAGAAGGUCUUCUAACAAGCCUUUUGCACACCUGCCAUGUAUUUUGUCAGGCCUUGGGGAUGAAGGUGAGAAAUUCGAGAAUCCCCGGAGAUAACACAUCAGCAAAUAGUGCGCAGGCAGAACAAGCUGUUGGAGGUGAGAGACACAGAGCAGAGAAGCACCCGCACCUGGAGAGUCAGGAGGGCCUCACAUCAGAACGCCUGAGCAAAUACAGUUUUGAAGGAUACUAAUUUUUUAAAAAGUUCAUUCACAUGAGUUAGACAAAGAGAAAGAAGCAGGACAUUCUAGGAAGAAGGAACGGCCCAGGCAAAAGCGACGCGUACAUUGGCGUGGGUCCAUUCAAGAAUUGUGCCCACAAUAUACCAGGCACUUGUCCAGACCUGCAUCGUCCAAUGCCCACCUCGACCUCCCAAAGUGUUGGGAUUAGAGGCGUGAGCCACCGCGCCCUGCCUGCAUGUGGCUAUUGAGAUGUGCUGUAUGAUACACACCGGACUUUGAAGACUCAGUGUGAAAAAUAAAAAGAAUUUUAAGAGGGGUGGGGGUCGAGGGGAGGCAGAGCAGUAGGACAAAUAGCUAAUGCACGCAGGGCUUAAAACCUAGACAACAGGUUGAUGGGUGCAGCAAACCACCAUGACACAUGUUUAUCUAUAUAGCACCUACAUGUUCUGCACUUGUAUCCUGGAACUUAAAAUUAGAAAAAAAAAAUAAUAAAAGCCAACAUGGCAUUCAUUACUGCCAAAAAAAUUAAAA
This is a long non-coding RNA of Homo sapiens (human), 1275 nucleotides long. Ensembl annotates it as RNASEH1 divergent transcript. Its record names the gene RNASEH1-DT. The record is from Ensembl. NCBI's taxonomy places the organism in Eukaryota, Metazoa, Chordata, Mammalia, Primates, Hominidae.